Molecule: ribosomal RNA, 279 nt
Filed under: uncultured bacterium
Lineage: Bacteria
Description: partial 16S ribosomal RNA
Rfam family: Bacterial small subunit ribosomal RNA
Source: RNAcentral
UGCCAGCAGCCGCGGUAAUACGGGGGGAGCAAGCGUUACUCGGAAUCACUGGGCGUAAAGAGCAUGUAGGCUGGUAGAAAAGUUAGAAGUGAAAUCCUGUGGCUUAACCAUAGAACUGCUUCUAAAACUCUCUACCUAGAAUAUGGGAGAGGUAGAUGGAAUUUCUGGUGUAGGGGUAAAAUCCGUAGAGAUCAGAAGGAAUACCGAUUGCGAAGGCGAUCUACUGGAACAUUAUUGACGCUGAGAUGCGAAAGCGUGGGGAGCAAACAGGAUUAGAUA